UCCACGCCAAUCGCGAAGUCUUAGUAGCUUUAUCAAGUCGAUUGCACUACGCCAGGCAAAAGGGUGCACACUGCACCCUGCUUUUCAAUUAAAUCACUGCUUCAAUACACUUUCACAUGACAAUUCACAACUGUACAGUAACCCAAUGAGAGCGCAGUACCGUGUCAUUCAACCUCUUUCAGAAUCCAGAGGCUGAUGACAUGAGAGACACAAGACAACUUCCAAUUCAGUUCCUUUUGAGAGAGGCGGUGGACAAAACCACCAGGAACAUGAAGAUCAAGGCCGCGACGAAGGAAGCCACCACCGCGCCACUGACUUGCUGGCAGAAGUCGUUGAAUUGCCGGCAAAUGGCGAGCCAGUUCGCGUUCACGUUCCCGUUGUGAGCCAGGUAAACGAUGGCCGCCGCCGACGAGGCAGCAGCCGUCGUGAGUGCCACGAAUAUCUGCGACGAUUUGGUAGAUUAAUUGUGUUAGGAAGCGAACACAUGGCUGUUGUUUCAUUUUUCUAGUAGGAUCAGUGGAUGAUGAUUAUGAGCAAUGGUUAUCUCAUGAGAUAGAUUAGAUUACGGUGUCAAAGAUGAGGAGGAGGAGCCUUGGACCGACGGCCUGGGGCCGGACGAUGCACACGAUCGAGAAGGGCAAGGAGAGGACGAGCAUGUGCAUAAUUAACAUGGCCCGGAAAUCAAACUUGCAUACUCGAAUGCCACGAGAUCAUCGUAGCUGGCCUGGAACUGGAAGAAUUGUGUGAAGAACGGGAGCGUUUGAUCAGUGGUUCCCAUGGUGGUGGCAGCGGCUAAAGCGGCGCCAGUGGCCAAUAGCCUAAGAAGGAAGUCGAACACCGCGACGCCUUUCUUCCAUCCUCCUCUUCCCGCUCUAGCGGCGGCGGCCACCGGAGGAGGCACCGCACCAGCAACCGCUUUGCCCUUGGCUCUGGCCCUCGAUUUGGACUUGGAUAACAGCAUCGUGUCACCGUUCUUUGACGAGUCCAUGGAACUUGCAGGUGCCUAAAGACUAGUGUCUUUUUCUCUUCUCAAUGUGGUUGAUAAGCUUUUGCUGUAGCAAGGCUAUGAGAUACCAUGUUGAAGCAGACUAAAUAUAUAUAGUGGAACUUGGAUUAGAGCCAGAAUUUAGUAAAUGAAUGGAGUGGUUUGACUUUUGUU
Syzygium oleosum is the source of this 1159-nucleotide long non-coding RNA. RefSeq lists it as uncharacterized. The transcript is spliced from 2 exons. The record is from RefSeq and is a predicted model, not a curated record. NCBI's taxonomy places the organism in Eukaryota, Viridiplantae, Streptophyta, Magnoliopsida, Myrtales, Myrtaceae.